GGGGGGGCAUUUAUGUCGGCACGGCGAUAGGGGACCUCGAGUGCCAGGUUACAAAUCUGGCUGUCGUGAUGCCUAAAAAGCAUUGCAUAGCAAGGGCCGGGCAAGACCGGUGCCAGCCGCCGCGGUAACACCGGCGGCUCGAGUGGUAACCGUUAUUAUUGGGUCUAAAGGGUCUGUAGCCGGCCGGAUAAGUCUCUUGGGAAAUCUGGCAGCUUAACUGUCAGGCUUUCAGGAGAUACUGUCUGGCUCGAGGCCGGGAGAGGUGAGAGGUACUUCAGGGGUAGGGGUGAAAUCUUGUAAUCC
This 303-nucleotide ribosomal RNA is filed under the name uncultured archaeon. RNAcentral describes it as "bacterial SSU rRNA". It matches the Rfam family "Archaeal small subunit ribosomal RNA", at positions 337 to 648 of the family's 1478-position model. The record is from RNAcentral.